AUCGUCUUAGACGGUGGGCGCUUUUUGCUUUGUGAGCAUAACAAUCCUCGAUGGCUACUUGGGCUGUUCUACAUGGUUAGACUAUU
Molecule: transfer RNA, 86 nt
Filed under: Vibrio comitans NBRC 102076
Lineage: Bacteria; Pseudomonadati; Pseudomonadota; Gammaproteobacteria; Vibrionales; Vibrionaceae
Description: tRNA-Thr
Source: RNAcentral